Molecule: ribosomal RNA, 254 nt
Filed under: uncultured bacterium
Lineage: Bacteria
Description: partial 16S ribosomal RNA
Rfam family: Bacterial small subunit ribosomal RNA
Source: RNAcentral
UACGUAGGGGGCAAGCGUUGUCCGGAUUCAUUGGGCGUAAAGAGCGUGUAGGCGGCCAGGUAGGUCGGUUGUGAAAACUGGAGGCUCAACCUUCAGAGGUCGACCGAAACCAUCUGGCUAGAGUCCGGGAGAGGAGAGUGGAAUUCCUGGUGUAGCGGUGAAAUGCGUAGAUAUCGAGAGGAACACCUGCGGCGAAGGCGGGUUGCUGGGCUGACACUGACGCUGACAGCGCGAAAGCUAGGGGAGCGAACGGG